Molecule: ribosomal RNA, 116 nt
Filed under: Cedrus deodara (deodar cedar)
Lineage: Eukaryota; Viridiplantae; Streptophyta; Pinopsida; Pinales; Pinaceae
Source: RNAcentral
GCGGGCACCAUUGUAAGGCGGGAACCACACCCGAUCCCAUUUCGACCUCGAUAUGUGACGUCUUACUUACACCAUAUGUACUGAGGUUUAUCGGGAGACGUGGACAAAGCCCGCCU